This 1432-nucleotide ribosomal RNA is filed under the name uncultured bacterium. Its description in RNAcentral is "bacterial SSU rRNA". It matches the Rfam family "Bacterial small subunit ribosomal RNA". The record is from RNAcentral.
GCUUAACACAUGCAAGUCGAGGGGCAGCAUGGUCUUAGCUUGCUAAGGCCGAUGGCGACCGGCGCACGGGUGAGUAACACGUAUCCAACCUGCCGUCUACUCUUGGACAGCCUUCUGAAAGGAAGAUUAAUACAAGAUGGCAUCAUGAGUCCGCAUGUUCACAUGAUUAAAGGUAUUCCGGUAGACGAUGGGGAUGCGUUCCAUUAGAUAGUAGGCGGGGUAACGGCCCACCUAGUCUUCGAUGGAUAGGGGUUCUGAGAGGAAGGUCCCCCACAUUGGAACUGAGACACGGUCCAAACUCCUACGGGAGGCAGCAGUGAGGAAUAUUGGUCAAUGGGCGAGAGCCUGAACCAGCCAAGUAGCGUGAAGGAUGACUGCCCUAUGGGUUGUAAACUUCUUUUAUAAAGGAAUAAAGUCGGGUAUGGAUACCCGUUUGCAUGUACUUUAUGAAUAAGGAUCGGCUAACUCCGUGCCAGCAGCCGCGGUAAUACGGAGGAUCCGAGCGUUAUCCGGAUUUAUUGGGUUUAAAGGGAGCGUAGAUGGAUGUUUAAGUCAGUUGUGAAAGCUUGCGGCUCAACCGUAAAAUUGCAGUUGAUACUGGAUACCUUGAGUGCAGUUGAGGCAGGCGGAAUUCGUGGUGUAGCGGUGAAAUGCUUAGAUAUCACGAAGAACUCCGAUUGCGAAGGCAGCCUGCUAAGCUGCAACUGACAUUGAGGCUCGAAAGUGUGGGUAUCAAACAGGAUUAGAUACCCUGGUAGUCCACACGGUAAACGAUGAAUACUCGCUGUUUGCGAUAUACUGCAAGCGGCCAAGCGAAAGCGUUAAGUAUUCCACCUGGGGAGUACGCCGGCAACGGUGAAACUCAAAGGAAUUGACGGGGGCCCGCACAAGCGGAGGAACAUGUGGUUUAAUUCGAUGAUACGCGAGGAACCUUACCCGGGCUUAAAUUGCAGAUGAAUUACGGUGAAAGCCGUAAGCCGCAAGGCAUCUGUGAAGGUGCUGCAUGGUUGUCGUCAGCUCGUGCCGUGAGGUGUCGGCUUAAGUGCCAUAACGAGCGCAACCCUUGUUGUCAGUUACUAACAGGUUCCGCUGAGGACUCUGACAAGACUGCCAUCGUAAGAUGUGAGGAAGGUGGGGAUGACGUCAAAUCAGCACGGCCCUUACGUCCGGGGCUACACACGUGUUACAAUGGGGGGUACAGAGGGCCGCUACCACGCGAGUGGAUGCCAAUCCCCAAAACCUCUCUCAGUUCGGACUGGAGUCUGCAACCCGACUCCACGAAGCUGGAUUCGCUAGUAAUCGCGCAUCAGCCACGGCGCGGUGAAUACGUUCCCGGGCCUUGUACACACCGCCCGUCAAGCCAUGGGAGCCGGGGGUACCUGAAGUGCGUAACCGCGAGGAGCGCCCUAGGGUAAAACUGGUGACUGGGGCU